This is a long non-coding RNA of Amaranthus tricolor (Joseph's coat), 2021 nucleotides long. RefSeq lists it as uncharacterized. The transcript is spliced from 4 exons. Lineage: Eukaryota; Viridiplantae; Streptophyta; Magnoliopsida; Caryophyllales; Amaranthaceae. The record is from RefSeq and is a predicted model, not a curated record.
CUUUCAUCUUGCUCUUGCUCUUGCUCUUGCUCUUGCUCCCUUCUUCCUUCAUCCCCCUCCCUCGCAAAAACCAACCACCACACGCCAGCCACAUCAGCCGCUCACCGCAGCUGACCUUCGACGCCGGAAACCACCGGUCGCCGCCAAACAGCAGGCCGUGACAGCCCCUGUGACGUGUCAUCCCCCUUCUUUCCCCAUUAUGGUGUUCAGUUCAUAAGAGGUUAUAAAACCCUAUAUUGGUGAUUAUUUUGACUUUUGCAGAGUGUCAGCAACUUCAGGUAGGGUCAGAUGGAGGGUAUGAGCUCAUACUUUGCCAUGGGCGCCGGGCCGGAUGACCGAUAACGCCCUUGGUCUUGUCACUAUGCCAUGAAGUAGAGAAAAGAUCCACUAUUCUUGAAUAUUCUUCGAGGGAUUAAACGUUCUAAAAGCAAAUCGUGGAGUAAAUAGGAAGUGUAAGCGGGGUUAUCAUAGAUAGACAUUACAGGUGAUGGAGCUUCUUUGCAUUGCAUACGGGGGAAAAUGAGUGAGAAUCUAGAAGUAUACAAUAUUUUAUUGUCUACAUAUAGUUUCUUUUUAAUUAAGUUGUCUAUGUUUUGGGUUUGAGGUACAUAUCCUCCUUUGUAUGAGUUAUUUCCGCUGCAUUGUUUUUGUGGUUUUUAUGAUUUAAAUAGUUUAUCAUUCUCUUUCUUUCUUUAAACUCAAGCGUUUACAUUGGAACCACGAUCCAUGCUUAGCAUAUCGUCUAAGGAUUAGGCGAUGAACAUUCCUCCGUGAUAUUUUGUUACAAGGCCGAUGAUGUCUUCUUUAUUAUGUUUUAUCGAUCGUUGUUUGUUUAGUGCAUCCAACAUUAGGGAAGGUGCUGCUGAAAUUUACUUUUUUUGGAGUUUUCUAAUUCCUUUAAUUAAAUCAUCCAAUUUUCUCUUUUACUUUUUAUUAUUUAUUAUAUAUUUUAUAUUUUUAAUGUAACACCCGAAUUUCCUUCGUUUUCUUGCGGUUUUGGUUCCGUAUAGAGGGUCGAAAAUUCAGGGGUGUUACACCUAUGGAGUACUAUUUUGCAUACUAGAAUAGAUGUUUAAUGUAGAUAAAAAAAAUCUACUUACAAAAUAAAGAAAUAAAAAACUUUUACUAUAAUAGAUUAACACCUACUGUAUAUUACUAUUUUAGGCAUCAAAAAUAUCUACUUUACGUACUAAAAAUUACCUCUUUACAUAUCACAAACACCUACUACACAUUUUGUAAACAUCUACUUUAGAUAUUAAAAAUAUCAAAAUUUACGUACUAAAAAUCCCUACUUCACACAUCAUAAAGGCUUACUACACAUUAAAAAUUUCUACUUUAUACAUUAUAAACACAUACAUUACAAUUACUUUACAUUAGAUAUAUACACCUACUUUAUAUGUAUUAAAAGUUGAAAUGCCUGCAAUGGAAGAAAUUGUGAGUGAACACCAUUACAAAAUCUUCAAAACUUAAGUUUAUUCUUAAUCUUAACUCUAGUUAACCUAAUUUCAAUCUUAAUUGAUUUUAAGUUUAUUCAUAAAUUCUUUAUUAUUUUAAGUGAAAAUUAAUUGGAGAAGGUAGACAUGAACGAAUUGAUGGAAAAAUUGGUUUGAAUAGUGAAAAUUAAAUUGAAGAAGAUGGAGGAUAAAUAUGAAUGACUUGAUGGAGAAGAGCUAUGAAUGAUGAACAAGCUGACAUCCAUGAAAAUAGAAAUGUUGUGAUGAAGAACAAGCAUAUUUUUUAUUAUUUUUUCUUUUUUAAAAAUUGGGUCUGCUUAAUUAGAGACGGUUUCUUACCUUCUAUCACAACAAUUUGCGUUACAAUUUUAGGCAUUUAUUUUAGAAGCAAACCUAGUCUGUUAAUCGCUCAAAUCUGCACAUGAACAUUUCAUGUUUAACCGACUAUAUCCUACCUCUUAAUGGUAUCAUUUGUAAUAGGGCAAUCUUAUUGGGCUAGAGUAGGGAUGACAAUGGAUCUUAGAUUUGCGCCGAAUUCGUGACCCAGAUAACCAUAUUCGUUUUGCA